UUUAAAGUAUGAGUAUGUCCCAUCAAACAUUUGGGACAUAUUUAUACUAAAA
Molecule: microRNA precursor, 52 nt
Filed under: Loxodonta africana (African savanna elephant)
Lineage: Eukaryota; Metazoa; Chordata; Mammalia; Proboscidea; Elephantidae
Description: mir-1302 microRNA precursor family
Rfam family: mir-1302 microRNA precursor family
Source: Rfam by way of RNAcentral